RNAcentral lists this unclassified non-coding RNA (493 nucleotides) under Hevea brasiliensis (rubber tree). Lineage: Eukaryota; Viridiplantae; Streptophyta; Magnoliopsida; Malpighiales; Euphorbiaceae. The record is from RNAcentral.
AUAGGUGAUUACGGCCUGGGAAAACGAUAGAAAAAAGCCUUUAUUUUGUAAAGUAGCUGUCUUUAAAGUGCAAGUGAAAUAUCGACUUUCAUUCAACUUUAGAAAAACUAUAGUAAGGUAGCGAAGUUCAGAGGAGCGGCAGGCAAGUAAGAAGUUCAUCCAUUGAAGUUGAAGUAAACGAUUGAUCUCUAUCGUAUCAAGUAAAGGGAGUAAGAGAGCCACAUGAAUCGAUCUUCUUUAUUCAAUCUAGAUCCCCCUUGCAAUUGAUCUGUGCGAUAUCGAGUAUGCUAACGCGAAUCUCUAACGGUCGUAAUCAAGUCUCUCAAUCGUUUUCUCCUGUCGUUAACUCUCGAAACUCUUGCAAGGCUCUCAAACGGUCUAACUGUCGGAAACUUUCGUAAUCGUUCCAACCGGUCGAAACUUUCGUUAAUGGUCCAACUGUCGUAACGGUCGCGGGGGUUCGGGGGGACUAAUGGUAUAGAGAUAAUGCUAA